GAGCUAUUUUUGCACUGCACAAAGCUGGAAUUCCUAAGAUCAGAAAAAUGGUACAAGAAGAUACAAAUCACUAACAUGCUCAAAAAAUUGCAAAAUUAAUUCAAAAUCAGCAGAUGAAAAGCAACAAUGGCAGAAACAUACUUCAACAACAAACAACAUGCAAAGUAAUUUAAAGGCAAGGAUUAAUAGGAACAAGAACCUGAUAGCAGCAAUUAACGUUCUUCAGUUUAGCUCAAUACAGUUGAGACGCUACUCUGGAAAAUUAGAUGCAACCUAGAUUGAAGCCAGAAUAGAGGUGUAAAUAGAUUGUAAAAUAUAUAAAUCAGGGAUUGACAUUGAGAAUGAUUAAAUCUGCAGUUGAAAAUGAGUUCUUUUGAAUGCAACAACUACAUCCAGCGAGAUUUUUGAAUGUCAAUGCAUUCAAACAGUAGAAAAAUUGGAUCUAAAUAUGCAAUCCCUUGAUAUAUAUAGUAAUAAUCUAUAACACUAAACAACUUAAAUCUCUUAUUUUUUCUUGAAUCUAAUCUUUAGUAAGAUGGUGGUAUUAGCUUCUUUGAAGCUCAACCCAUUAACUACGGAUUAAAUGAAAAGGAAAAGAGGAACUUACCUUCAAGAAAUCAGGUGACAAGCUGGAGACAUGGUCAAGAGCAUGGGAGUUAAGGAAGUCGAUGGUGGAGCCAUGGAUUCCGAUGAAGGCGGCGGCCGAUUUGAUUUCCUCUUUUGACUGAUCAGACCCUUUGUCUUAUUUGGGUUUGUUUUUUGUAUUUGAUUUGCAUGGACUCGGGUCCUCUCUUUAUGGGCUGAUCUUUGAUUCAUUUGUUUUUGUUUAUAAAAUGAGCUAAAAGAUC
This 848-nucleotide long non-coding RNA is filed under the name Capsicum annuum. Its description in RNAcentral is "long non-coding RNA (CANN_LNC020804)". The record is from RNAcentral. Lineage: Eukaryota; Viridiplantae; Streptophyta; Magnoliopsida; Solanales; Solanaceae.